CUACGUAGGGUGCAAGCGUUAAUCGGAAUUACUGGGCGUAAAGCGUGCGCAGGCGGUUUUGUAAGACAGUGGUGAAAUCCCCGGGCUCAACCUGGGAACUGCCAUUGUGACUGCAAGGCUGGAGUGCGGCAGAGGGGGAUGGAAUUCCGCGUGUAGCAGUGAAAUGCGUAGAUAUGCGGAGGAACACCGAUGGCGAAGGCAAUCCCCUGGGCCUGCACUGACGCUCAUGCACGAAAGCGUGGGGAGCAAACAGGAUUAGAUACCCUGGUAGUCCACGCCCUAAACGAUGUCAACUGGUUGUUGGGGAUUUAUUUUCUCAGUAACGAAGCUAACGCGUGAAGUUGACCGCCUGGGGAGUACGGCCGCAAGGUUAAAACUCAAAGGAAUUGACGGGG
This 395-nucleotide ribosomal RNA is filed under the name uncultured bacterium. Its description in RNAcentral is "partial 16S ribosomal RNA". It matches the Rfam family "Bacterial small subunit ribosomal RNA", at positions 523 to 918 of the family's 1533-position model. The record is from RNAcentral.